AUUGAACGCUGGCGGCAUGCUUUACACAUGCAAGUCGAACGGUAACAGGCCUUCGGGUGCUGACGAGUGGCGCACGGGUGAGUAAUGCAUCGGAACGUGCCCAGAGGUGGGGGAUAACGCAGCGAAAGCUGUGCUAAUACCGCAUGUGAUCUGAGGAUGAAAGCGGGGGACCAGGCAGCAAUGUUUGGCCUCGCGCCUUUGGAGCGGCCGAUGUCAGAUUAGGUAGUUGGUGGGGUAAAGGCCUACCAAGCCGACGAUCUGUAGAUGGUCUGAGAGGACGACCAGCCACAAGGGGACUGAGACACGGCCCAGACUCCUACGGGAGGCAGCAGUGGGGAAUUUUGGACAAUGGGCGCAAGCCUGAUCCAGCAAUGCCGCGUGCGGGAAGAAGGCCUUCGGGUUGUAAACCGCUUUUGUACGGAACGAAAAGGCUCUGGCUAAUACCUGGGGCUGAUGACGGUACCGUAAGAAUAAGCACCGGCUAACUACGUG
RNAcentral lists this ribosomal RNA (492 nucleotides) under uncultured bacterium. Its description in RNAcentral is "partial 16S ribosomal RNA". It matches the Rfam family "Bacterial small subunit ribosomal RNA", at positions 29 to 507 of the family's 1533-position model. The record is from RNAcentral.